UACAGAGACUGCAAGCGUUAUUCGGAUUCACUGGGCGUAAAGGGUGCGCAGGCGGCCAAGUGUGUGAGGCGUGAAAGCCCGGGGCUUAACCCCGGAAUUGCACCUCAAACUACAUGGCUAGAGCAUUGGAGAGGGUAGCAGAAUUCAUGGUGUAGCAGUGAAAUGCGUAGAUAUCAUGAGGAAUACCAGAGGCGAAGGCGGCUACCUGGACAAUUGCUGACGCUCAGGCACGAAAAGCGUGGGGAUCAAACAGG
This 254-nucleotide ribosomal RNA is filed under the name uncultured bacterium. RNAcentral's name for it is "partial 16S ribosomal RNA". It matches the Rfam family "Bacterial small subunit ribosomal RNA", at positions 524 to 776 of the family's 1533-position model. The record is from RNAcentral.